AGCUUUGCGCAGUAGCGAUGUUGUAACCAAUGAGGUUUUACCGUGGUGCGAUUAUUGCUAGUGGAAAAAAAAAUCCUAUUUAAUAGUGUAUCAUAUUUUCUACAAGCACUUUGAAACUUUUUUUUUUCUUGAUAGUGGUUUAUAUUA
Small nuclear RNA from Toxorhynchites rutilus septentrionalis, 147 nucleotides. RefSeq annotates it as U4 spliceosomal RNA. NCBI's taxonomy places the organism in Eukaryota, Metazoa, Arthropoda, Insecta, Diptera, Culicidae. The transcript has a single exon. The record is from RefSeq and is a predicted model, not a curated record.